UACAGAGGGGGCAAGCGUUAUUCGGAAUUAUUGGGCGUAAAGGGCGCGUAGGCGGCGAUUCAAGUGACGGGUGAAAUCCCUCGGCUUAACCGAGGAACUGCCUGUCAGACUGGAUUGCUUGAGGCCGGGAGAGGCGAGUGGAAUUCCCAGUGUAGCGGUGAAAUGCGUAGAUAUUGGGAGGAACACCAGUGGCGAAGGCGGCUCGCUGGACCGGUUCUGACGCUGAGGAGCGAAAGCGUGGGGAGCGAACAGG
This 253-nucleotide ribosomal RNA is filed under the name uncultured bacterium. RNAcentral describes it as "partial 16S ribosomal RNA". It matches the Rfam family "Bacterial small subunit ribosomal RNA", at positions 524 to 776 of the family's 1533-position model. The record is from RNAcentral.